AAAAAAAAUCUGAAAAUAAAUUGAGAAACUAUGCUGACGAUUUAGGCUGUUUUUAUUCUUUCUCCUGCAAACCAGAUUUAUAGGGCGUGUUUUCAUUUUAACGGUAAUUCUAUAGGGCUUAUUACUAAAAAAAGCCCCUUUUUUUUUUAAAUUUACCGAAAUAGGCCACUUUUCUAAUUAUUUAUCGGAAUGGGUCAUUUUCCGCGAAAUCACGUCCACGUUAGCGCGAUGUCAGGGUACGCGCAGGAAAUCGCGUCCACGUCAGCGCGAUUUGCUGACGUGGAAGGAAAUCGCUUCCUCUAGGACGCGAUUUGCUGACGUGGCAUGAACAGUGUGUUUUUAACUUGGAAAACUUUGAAAGGCCAUAACUUUUGGCUCGGUUGUCCGAUUGAGACGAAUUUUUUUGAUUUCGAAUAAAUUUUCGAGAUCUACGCGCUGAUAAACCAUCGAAGGCGGUUUGCCGACGUUUUCGUCGAAAAAGAUCCUCUUUUGCCCCUCAAUUUUGAUUUUUUCGGUUUAAAAUUGAAUUUUGAAACAUUCAAAUCGUUAUUUUCCUCAUUUAUUUGAAGUAAACACCGGAUAUUUUUUUACAGAAUUGUCUUAUAUCAUCCUGUUAUAGGUAUAAGUCAGCUCAUUCCACUUUUGAGAAGUUCCCUAAAAUUUUCCAUUUUAUUCAAUUUAGUCCCUAAAGCCUAAAUAGUCAUAUUUUCAAAUCUAAGCUUCAUUUUUCAAUUCAAAUUCAAUUUCAUCCUUCCAUAACAUUCAAAUAUUCUUAAAUACAAAAAUUUCGUGCUAAUUUUGAAAUAAUUACACUUUAGUCCCUAUACUCGUAACUAACAAAUUAUACUUUACAAAUUAGUCCCUAUUCAUCUCUAAGAAGUUUUCCAGCACGUAGAUCUCGAAAAUUUAUUCGAAAUCAAAAAAAAAUUUGUCUCAAUCGGACAACCGAGCCAAAAGUUAUGGCCUUUCAAAGUUUUCCAAGCUAAAAACACACUGUUCAUGCCACGUCAGCAAAUCGCGUCCUAGAGGGAGCGAUUUCUUUCCACGUCAGCAAAUCGCGCUGACGUGGAUGCGAUUUCCUGCGCGUACCCUGACAUCGCGCUGACGUGGACGCGAUUUCGCGGAAAAUGGCCCAUUCCGGUAAAUACUUAAAAAAGUGGCCUAUUUCGGUAAAUUUAAAAAAAAAGGGCUUUUUUUAGUAAUAAGCCCAAUUCUAUCAACAGUUACAAGGGCUCCAACAAUUAUAAAAUUUUUAUAUAAAUACCUCUAAAUUUCAUUCUUUUCAACCAAAUACUCCAUACUCAUUCUUUCUUCUAAAUUCUCAAUUCUCAAUAUUCAAUUUCCAAUUUUCUAUUUUCAAUCUUCAAAUUUUAAUCCUCACUUAUUUUUUUAAUUUUAUUUUCUUCGAUUUUAAUUUAUUCGUUAUAAUUUUUAAGUGGCAAACCAACUUAUUCGUUUGGAUGACAAGCAUAUCUCCAGCAUUCAACUUAUUCAUUUGGAUGACGAUAUCGGAUAAAGUUAAAAUUGGUGGUUGCAUGCUACUUCAAUUGUGGCAUGUUAUCGACUAUCAUUUUUACGCCGCCGAGUAGAACUCCUUUACGAAUUCCCACUCGUCAUAUGUUGAAAUUCAUUUGAUAAUAUCAUUACCAUUUUUAUUUUUCAUUCUUGUAUUUUUUUGAAAUAACAUAUUGUUUGAAUAGGUGGAACAACCCCGCGAGACAUAGUUGUAUACCGACUGAACUCGAGGAUAUCCGAUUAGCUUUAGAUUAAGAAACCGAAGAUGAGGUUAGUUUAUGGAUUUCAAACUUAUAUAACAUAUUAUACCACAUGAAAUUAAAUAUUAAGCAUGUGCUAAAAAUUAUAAAUUCGUACUACAAUUUGUAUAGAUGCCAUAUGCGGAUUCGAAGGUUCAAUAAUGUGUCCCGAUCGAAUUUUUGACCAAUUGCAACAUUUGGCACGUCAAAGUGCCAUUGGUCAUUUUUGCAAUGGUUGAGAGGUACGAAUCCGAUCGAAUGAUGCGACAGUUCGGGUGUAUGCCACGUAUUCCAUCGCCUCCCCAAGAGCUUGAAGACCUGCACAAGAUUGACUUGCAAGGGAGACUCGAGGAAGAUUGGCCAACAUUCCACAAGAAGUAUAUCGAGAUAUGGCAGUGUAGGUAUAACGACAAGCCAUAUCUACUGCUAGCUUCAGAAAGGAGUAAGCAACAUCGCCGUAGGAAGCCAAGACGAGGACCUAUCAAUCCUAGGUCGGGAGAAGAUGUCGUAGCGGGAUCAACAUCUGCUCCAUCUGCACUGGAGGACCUGAUUGCCAUGCAACCUCCUAGUCAAUAUGAUUCAUUUAUUUUUGCUUCUAACCCAUUUUUUUUGUCACAAGUAUCAUAGCAUGCACACUCAUUCCCCGCAUCAUCACCUUCAGCUUUGGUUUAUUUUACAAAACCACCAUAGCACGCACAAUUAUUCCCUACAUCAACACAUUCAGCAUAAGUUUAUUUUACACAAGCACCACCGUACAUGCAAUCAUUCUUUGUAUCAACACCUUCUCUAGGGAUAAUUUUUGCACGAUUGCCACCCACCGUACCAUAUUAUAUGUUGAUCUCGCCAAAAACACCAAUUCAUUCGGUAUCACUGAUAAUUCUAACCUUUUAUCCGCAACUAGGCCAUGUGACUCCAUAUAGUGGCCCGACGGUAGUGUUGCAAACACCCCCAGCAUUGUGGUUCUAUCGAGGUGGGUUGUCCUUGCAACUGCUGACUCAAAUAGGGGGAUCUACGAUGAGCGGCUAGGACACGGUUGCAGUCAACCACGGAGGAAGGAGAUAAAGUCAACAAUAAACCCCAACGUGCAUGUGAAGAUGAAGCCAAAGUCAACGAGGAGUCGUCAAAGCAAAUAGUGCGACAGAACCCUAUGCGUGCUUGACGCCCACCUGGUUGUGGCACACAUUCGGGAAACUGAUGAUUAUAUUAUUUUGUAAUUUUGUAAUUUUUUGUAUACUUUGUUUUACAUCCCAAAUGUACACUUAUUUACAAUAUGUAAAAUAAAUUUAUUAAAUUGGUUUGAUUUGUACACAAUCAUAUUGUGAGUUUAAAAUUUACAAUUAUUUUUGUUACUAGUUCAUUUAAGUUUUUCUUCGUCCAUUUGUUAAGUACACUAUUUUUAUAAAACAAAGGAUUUCUCAGAAGGUUAGGAAAAAGAUUAACACUUUGGCUUGUGUAUUGUAAUAUAUCUUACUUCAAUAAUUAAUAUUAACUUACACUUUAUAGAAAAAAUUAAUGAAUAAAACAAAUAACUUAGUGUUUUCACUGCAUGGGUUAGUGUUUUAAUUAGCUCUUCUGCACUUCAAUAAUUAAUAUUAACUUUGACGUGCGAGUCCUACAUAUGUGUUUCAACCAACCCAACUUGAUUGUUUCUGAGCCCUGCAACCCGAGAUUCCCGGGAUAAAUUUUUUUCCUUUAUACCCUGCCCCAUCCCCUACAUAAAUGCUCCUUCAUCCCCUACUCACCCACAUCUCGGCCUCCUCUAAAUUGUUUUCUUUUCUUGCGUGUUAAAAUUUUCGGGUUUAAAGAUUUAUUUCUCUCAUUUUGAGGGAAACAUAGUCAUAGUUUUAAGUUGUGUUCGAGUUCACGGUGAUGUCAUAGAGCUUGGUAACCUACAAAUUUCACCUACCGUGUGAGUAUAGAGCCAUCACUUGAGAAGCCGAGAUUGCUUGUCCAAGUUGACGAUCAUUAUACCAUUUUGAGUUGAAAUGUAACUAAUGUUUCAAAUGUACAAAGGUUAUUCUGUCAAAGGAUGAAGCAUAACCGGGGUCGUAGUUGAGGGUGCUAAUGCGGGCACCACAACGAGUUUCUCCUCAUCAGAGAAGUAUGCUUCAUAAAACUCAAACAUAAGCACGAGGAGAAAAGCGCAAGGGCCCUUUUAGUAUAAUCAAGUAAUUCGUAUUAUCCAUCUCCACCGAAGGCGGUGACCUUAUUAGUAUAAUCUGUUACACCCCAAUGCUGUCACAAGUUAUAAUAACGGGGUCAUCGCCUUCGGUGGUGAUGGAUAAAAUGUAUUAUUUAAUUAUAUUGAAUCGUCAUUGCGUUUUCUUCCUCAUACUUAUGUUUGAGUUUUAUAAAACAUCCUCUUUUGAUGAGAAGAACUCGUUGUCGUGCCCGCAUAACCACUGUUAACUAUGGCCCAUCUAUGCUCCAUCCCUUGACAGCAUAAUUUUUGUAAACUUGAAGCCCUAGUUACACUUCAACCCCGGAUCGUAGAAUCACUGCUAAGUGGGACCUUGAGUUGCAAUGCAAUUCGACUUCCCGGGUGAUGGCUCCAUACUCACAUGGCAGAUAAAAUUUUUAGGUUACCCAACUCCAUGACACCACCGUAAAUUCAAACAUUCCUUAAAACUAUGACCUUGUUUAUCUCAAACAUGAACAAAAAUAAAUCUACAAACUUUUAAUUUCCAACCGCAAGAAAAAAAACAAUUUUUACCAAAGUGAAAACGCGCCAUACAGAGCGCGUGUUCAGGAGAGAGAAUAAAAACAGCGUAGAUUAGUAAAAAUUAUUUUUUUCAGCGUAUUUAUAUAAAUUAACUCAAAGCUGGUUUAUAUUUAAGCCUUAGUUCAUAAUUAAGUUCUUUUUAAAAAUAUAAUUUUAUAAUAUACAAAUAUAUCAAUAUGAAAAUCUUGAUUAGGUUCACGAUCAAUUUGAAUCAAGAUUUACGAUACUCGAAUUUGGCUCAAGCAAUAACACGAGUUCAAGAUAAAAACAACGUAAAUUAGUAAAUUUUUAGAAAAUCAACAUAAUUUCUCAAUUAUUUUUUUAGCGUAUUUAUAUAAAUUAACCCAAAGCUGGUUUAUAUUUAAGCCUUAGUUAGUUCAUAAUUAGGUUCUUUUUAAAAAUAUAAUUUUAUAAUAUAAAAAUAUAUCAAUAUGAAAAGCUUGAUUAGGUUCAUGAUCAAUUUGAAUCAAGAUUUACGAUGCUCGAAUUGGGUCAAACAAUAACACGAGUUCAAGCUCACCCCGAUAAUUAUCGAAUCAAAUUUGAGUUUUUUCUAGUCAAAGGCAAAUAGCUUGCAAGCAUCAAUCUCAUUUACACCUUACUAUUGAAUCUCUUUUCCAAAAAAAAUUAUAUUUAUAAUUUAUUUAUGAAAUAAUUUCAAUAUAUAAUCAUAUAUAUAAUAAAACAAGGUACGGAUUUAAAAUUUUAAAAAAUUAUGUAUCUAAUUUUAAAAUUUUAUCUUCUUAAUAAUAGUUUUAUCUAAUUUUUUAAUUACUUAUUAUUUUUUAAUAAUCUUAAAUAAUAAACUAAAAUUAAAAAAUUAAAAUUUUAUAUUAAAAUUAAAAAAAAUACAAAACCAUUUUCGUUUUAAAUUUCAAAGUUAUCUUUAUACUUAUCUAAAAAAAUAUAGUAUGUAAUAUAAAAUUUUAAAAUAAUUUUUUAUAUCUAAAUAAUAAACAAAUAUUAAUUUCCCAAAUAGGAUUACUUAGCAGUAUAUACUUGGUGAGUGUUGUAUGGAUCUUUUUACCUGUAAAUUUCAUUUUUGCUAGAUUUCUAUUGGGGUAUUCCUUGGGUUCAUGUAGCGUCUUUUAUCACUGGCAUUUGGUAUAUCGAUUUGAUUGUGACUCUGAGUUGCUCCACUUUCUAGAUCAAAAUCAGCAAAAGAAAAUGCCGAUAAGGUCAAGGAAACAGGUUUGUAUGUGCCUGAAGUAUGACCAGAUGCUUUACUUUUGAAUAGAAGUUCAGACUAUAGAUGGUUGCAGUGAUGUCUUCUUUUAAUCUUUGUGACGGAAAACAGAUGUUGGAGUUAUAGGGUUUUGAAAACUAUAUGAAGUGACACUAAAUAGUUGAAGUAAAGUUUAGCUGGUAUUGAAAUUUUCAGCAGAUGAUGCUUCUUCUAUCCAUUUAUGGAACAGGUGUGCUUUCUUUUUGUCCUUCUCUAAAAUUUAAGCAAUACCAGAACAAGGUAUGAGAAUAAAGCCAUAGGGUCUGUCUUUUACCAAUAGUUCUUUGGUAUUUGGUAAUAUUGACAUCACCCUGAAGGUUUAUAUUAUAUCUGAUAUGCGUAUACAUGUAUGUAUGUAUGUAUGAAUGCCUAUAUAUUGGGGGCGGGUGGUCGUUUGUGAGAAUGGUCAGUGCUGGAGCAAGUCAUGUUAGUUUUAUAUAGCUAGCACUAAUUGCUGGAGCAAUUUAAUCAAGAAGCAGGUAGACAUCAGUGCUGAAUAUUUAUUGUUAUUGAUUUUUGGACCUUGAAUUUUUCAUCUAAUAAUCUCAAAUUUUGGUGUUAUCAUUUUUUUCCUAAUAUAUUAAUUUUCAUAUUUGCUGGCAAUUUGAUUAUAUUCCAGAUUAAUAAAAUCAAGUUGUGUUAUAUCAGUUUUAGUUUCUCAAAUAUGCUCAAUUUGUUAUCAUUUAGAUAAAUAUUUAAUUAAACAAAAAAUUAACUAGAUAAUUUAUCCAUUUAAUUUAACUUAAAUAUUUAUUUAUAUAUUAUCUAUUUUGAAAUUUGAUUUUUUAACACAAAAAAUUUUAAAAAUUAGUUAUCUCAUUUAAAAAAAUAUAUUUUGAAUAAAAUUAUUUUACUUAUAAAUUUAUCUCCUUUACAUAUUUUGAGAUAUAAAUCUAUUAAAAUUAUAAAUUAAAACUUAAAUCAUAAUUACCUUUAAAUUUUAAUUACCUACCAAUAACUCUAUAUAUUAUAAGAUUAAUCUAUGUUUAAUCUAGGAAAUUAUAUAUAUAUCAUAUACAUAUAAUAAUUUAAGACAUAUUUUUAUAAAACAAAAUAUUGAAUUACAAAAUUUAUAAAAAAAAUAUUAAACUAUUUAAAAUUAUUUAUGAUAUCAAUCAUAAAAUUAUGUUUAUACAAAAUUAUAAAGUAAUUUUAAUUGAUAUAUACAACCAAACUCAUGCAUUGCCGGGUAAGAAAAUUAGUUUUUUAAUAUAUAUAUAUAUAUAAGGAUAAUUAUUGACUUAUUGAAUACAAUGUUAGUAGAAUAAAAAAAUUUAAAAUAUUCUAAAGUCUUUAUACUUUUCAUAAAAUUGAAAUUUAGUCUCUAUACUUUUGAAUUCAGGAAGGCAUAAUUGCAAAAAAAUCCCUCAACCUUUGGGGGCAUUUCGUUAUAUGCCCCUAACCUUUUUAUUUUCUGAAAUCGGCCGUUCACGUAAUAGAUUUUUCAGACAUCAACCCAGUUGAAACAGUAACCAUUAGCUGACUGUUAGUCAACAGCCGGUCAAAAAAAUUAGUCUACGUGGCAUUCCAGUUUACUGAUGACGUAGCAGACAUUAAUAUGUCUAUUAAUGGGUUUUAAAUUCAUCCAUCUCCAUCUCAUCCAUGAAAACUGCUCCACCGUCUUCAUCUCAUUUGCAGAAACAUAAUUUUCAAGUUUGAGAUCAAUACUGUCUAAAAAACUCAACAAAUAAUGGUUUGGAAUGGCUAUAAUGUAGGUUGCAUCGAUUGUAUUUUAGAUGUCCCUUUGCUGGUGAUUUAUUAUUAUACUUGAAAAAAAAACAGAUCUCAAAUCAGAAGGCCCUUUUAAACAAACCUAGAAAAAAGUGGUUGGUAAAGUAAGAUUAGCAAUGGGUUUACUAAUAUAUCUGCAAAUCUAAAGUAAAGCCAGUCCCAAGGUCGUGGCUAUUAAGGUAAGAUUAGCAAUGGGUUUACUAAUACCAUAUGCAAAUCUAAAGUAAAGCCAGCCCUAAGGCCAUUAUUCUUGUCUUCAUCUCUAACCAGUGUAAGAAAACAAGAAAAAAUAAAAGUAUGAUUGUGGGUACUGAUGGAUGAAAAGAAAAUUUUAUGAGAGUUGGAGAGCUGAGAAUGGCCUUUGCAAGGGGAAAUCAAAGAGCUAGGGUAGAAAAAAGGGAUAGAAACCCAAAAAAUUCUUUGAUUUUCUGGGUUUUUCUUUCACUCUUUUUUUUUUGUAACUCAAAAGGAAAAGAUCAAAUUUUGGAGAUGGAAUCAUGGACGUCAUUGAACGAUUCUUGGUCGGAGAAGAUGCCGUGAUUAAUGGCAUCAAUAGUGGGAAAAGGCGACUAGGGCUUUUUUGUUUUAGAGAAGAAGAUUGAAGAGGAUGAAGAUAUUUGUCUAUUUCUUUAGUAAUUAUUAAUUUUUUUUUAUAUUUUAAGUAAUAAUAAAUAUGGGGUAAAUUAGCGUAUUUAUUUUAAUGUCUACCACGUCAUCAGUCAACUAGAACGCCACGUAGACCAAUUUUUUGACCGACUGUUGACUAACGGUCAAUUAACGGUUAUCGUUUCAACUGGGUUGAUGUUUUAAAAAUUCGUUACGUGAAGGGCCGAAUUCAGAAAAUAAAAAGGUUAGGGGCAUAUAUCCAAAUGCCCCCAAAGGUUGAGGGCUUUUUUUGCAAUUAUGGCUUUUUGGAAUUUAGUCCUACUUUUUAGCUUUCUAUAGAGGCAAAUUUUUGAAGUGGCUGACUAAGUGCCAAACGAAAGUGACCAUUUCCAUCAACACUGCGACAAACUGUUACUUGUCAUAUUUGUAGUUGACAAUUUAUUGAAACAAAAUCUUUGAGCUUUGAAUGGUGUUGAUAUUCUAGACGUGUGCAAGACCGACUUUGAAGACCAAUCCAUUUACAAUAACUUUCCUUGAAGAUUGGUGGUUCGAAUCAAGUAAUUGAAUCCCUUGGAUUGAGGAGAAUGGGUCGAGAUAGCAUUAAAGAUACCAUUGAAGAAUGAAUUUCCAACAAUCCAUGAAACAUCCCUUACCCAUUCUGAGGACCAGUACAGAUAGAAGAUGCCAUUAGAAUACAUUCAAAUCAAAAUACUUGACUUUCUUUAAGAAAAUAAAUAUUAUAAAAUUUUAUAGGAUCAUUAAAAAUAGGUAAAUCAAAUUUUAGCAUUUUAAAAUCAUGUUAUAAACAUUUGGAUAAAGUUUGAGAAGGUUUCCAGGUGUCCGGGCCCAAAACAACUAUUGAAACAACUUCAAAUAUGAUGAGUUGUUGCUUGAUCAAUCAAUGCAAAUAGUAAACAGGGGGUGAAUUGACCUUUUAAAAAUUAGUGGAAGAAAGACAAGAAAAAUAGAAACAAUGAACACAAGUGGUUCGGUCUCAAUUGCCUACUCCACUACCUUAGCUUUCCACCAUUAAGGAUUUUCCCAAAUUCACUAAUUUGAUUCAACCUUUGAAGGCAUAGUUUAACCUUACAACUCCUUUAAGAUUUCUACCUAAAAUUUUAACACUUAAACCCUCUUAAAAGAGUAACCAAAUGAGCAAACAAAGAAACAAUCCUUAAAAUAUUAGGAUGUUUGCCAAUUAAGCACUCAUACAAUAAAAACAGUUGAGCUGAUAAAAAAAUAUAAUAAAUGCUCACAAGUGUUUACAAGAAAAGAUGAAUAAUUUUAAGCACAAAUUGAUUGGUAAUGAAUUUUUUAUGUAUCUUGAAGCUUUUGAUCUUUUGUAAUUCUCUUGUUGUUAUAUAAGCUUUGGAAACUGAUAUUUAUACCUCAUAAUUGAUUUUCAACCAUUUGGGUUGAUGGGAAAUUGAAUAGAGUCAUUGGAGAUGUAAGAACAGGUGCAUUAAUGUCUCCUACAACAACAAGUAUUGAUACCUUUUAAAAGGUAUCGAUACUUUGGACACUUAAUGCCUAAAUUUAGUGACUGUUAAAGGCUAUAGUAUCAAUACAAUAGAGGAAAUAUUGAUACUUGCUAUGAGGUAUUGGUACCUUGGGGAGGGUAUCGAUACUCGGACAAUUUCUUGUUUAAUUUUCAAAACAUCGAACCUUAAAAUGGUAUCGAUACCAUGGGAGGGUAUUGUUAAAUUUUGCAAGGUAUCGAUACUUUUAUGAAGGUAUCGAUACUUUGUAUUUGUGCUCAAUCUUCUUUGAGAAAUAGAAGUUCAAAUUGGUACCGAUACUAGGCAUAAGUAUCGAUAAUUUUUGAAAGGUAUCGAUACUUGGUUAGAGGUAUCAAUACAUUGGAUUUUUGCUCAAUUUUUUUAAACUUCGAAGCUUAAAUCGGUACCGAUACCUUAGAGGGUAUCGAUACUUUGACCCUUGAGAGCAUUUUAACUUGUUUAAAAGUGUUUGCAAAAUUUUUUAUUGUUUUGAAGAACUUUCAAAAUAUUUUCUAAGUGCUUGAAAGAUUGAUUUAAAUUUUUAUCUCUUAAAAAUAUUUUGAAACAAAUUUUUACUUUGAAAUUUAUCAAGUUUUAUUUUAAAAACAAGUUUUGUUUAAAAACAUUAUAUUUGUUGUAUCAAACAAAUCUUAGUUUAACAAUCUCCCUUUUUUUGAUAUAACAAAAUAUUUUGGUAAAUUUUAUUUUUGAAUAAGUUACUAUCCCUUUCUAAAAAUCAAUUUCAGUUCAAGGCUCGAUUUUGUUUUUGAAAGGUGGUCACAAAAUUGUAGAGAUUAAUUACCAACCAUUUUACCUAUUUAUCUUUUCUCCCCUUUUUUGUUAUAUAAAAAUAAAUCAAUGUAAAGUCUAAAGAGAAAGAAAAUGGUUAGUCCAAAAAUAUAAAGCAAUCAAGAACAAGGAACUAACAUUGAAAAUAAAACAUCGAAGUAUUUCAAAAAACUAAAUAAAUGUUAAAGUGCAAUAACCAUAGGAAUAGGAAAAUAAUUCAAAUAAUGCAUAAGAUCGAAAAUGAACAUGAAGAUGCAUGAGUGCAAAAUAGAUCCUAAUUAUCUUGGGGUGGCUGUAGUGGACGAAACUGUGACAUAAUAUAAGCUAUGUGUUCCUCCAACGUAGUCAUCCUAGCAUCUAAGCCUUGAAACUCAUCACUAACAACACUAGGAAAGCCUCUAAAUUCAUUGCUCAAAGAGUUAAUAGUGUUAAGGAGAGCGUUAGUCUCGAUCGAAAAUGGAGUGGCUAGUGGUGGAGCUUGCUCGAGAUGUGGAAUCAGAUCACCGCCUUCAACAUCUUCAUCUUCCUCAUUAUGGGGUUUGUGUUGAGCACCCUUGACCCAUGUACCAUUGUGAGGGUCCUCGGUAUAACCAGCAUGUCAUAGGGUAUCAAAACUUAGAGAAGUAAGAGUGGCCAAAGAAGGAUCGCCUCAGGUGGGAAUUUUGAGGUGUUUGAAAAUGUACAAGAGGUAGGUUCCGAAUGGUAAGGUCACAAAGCUAGUAAGCUCUUUUCCAAUGACCUUGGUUAUAUCGUUAAACAUUAUUAAGGCAAGGUCGGGUCACCUAUUUGUUUGAAAGCAAUCAAGCCACCAAUAAUCCAUGGCUCAAACAACAUGUUUGGAAAUAGGUAGAAAAAUUCAUAUAAGACUUAAGUGAAGCAAACGAUCAUGGAUAUUGAGCUUUGAAGCAUUCGAGCUUGGAAUGAUUAAGGUUGAGUUUGAAGAGUCUUUUUCAUUUUACUCACCACUAGGUAGUAAUUUUAAAAAUUCCCCAAAAUUUUCUAAGGUGAACGGAUUAGUGUGUUCAUAAGGAAAGAAUUUAUUGCAAUAACGGUCUCACCUAACGAGUUGUGUUUGAGUAAAGCAUUUGAAUAAAAUGUUCGAACAAGGUUUGCAUGAGUUGGAGAAUGAAUUUUUAAAAAGUCAAUCCAAUGCCAAUUUCCCAAUGCUGGAAGAUAAGCAAAGUUAAAAUCAGCUAAGGUUUCUAAAUAGAGAGGUCGAGAAACGUUAACUUUGUGAGUUGAAAAAUAAGUGUAAAAACAAGUUCUCUCAUCGGUAUUUUGAAAACAAUCAUUUAAAGAAUCAUUUUGGCUGCUAUGUGGAUUGGACGAAGAGGCAUCAACACGAGAAUGUUUCUUAAGAGGCAUGGUGACAAACUAUGAUCCUAAGACGCACUAAACAAAUUAGAAUUUUUAUUCAAGAAUUUUAUCCAACACUUGAUAGGCAAGAGUUUUAAAAAAAGAUUUGAAAAGAUUUUUUGGUUAGGCAAACCCCCUACAUCAAAAUCACAACAUAUACAUAUUCCAGAUCAUACAAUAUCAAGAUUCAAACUAGAAAAUAAAACAUUUUAUUUGCAUUUUCAAAAUAAAGAAAUUUGAGUUUUACCUUGAGUAUGCUUUUAAGAGAUGAAAAAAUCUAAUGGAAAAAGUUGAAUCCUUGAUAAUGUUGAGAGUUUGGAUGAUGUUUUUUGAGAAAUUUUAAAAAAUGAAAUAUUUAAAGCUUUUUGGUGAAAGGGUUUUGAAAUCAGUGGAGAAAAAAUAAGAGUUUUUCUCGACUUUUUUUUAAAGGAAACGUGUUGCAGGCCUUUUAAAAAUUCGAAGGUAUCGAUACUUUUAGUGAAGUAUCAAUACUUUACCUUAAGUAUCAAUAUUUUUUAAAACUAUCAAUACUUUAGCUUAAGUAUCAAUACUUUUGUUAAAGUAUCAAUACUGCAAUGCCCAGAUUGGUUCAAAACUGCAAAAAAGUUCCUAGAACUGGUUUUAAGCCUCUAAAAUGCAUCCGACUAACUUAAGUUGCUAUUUUUGCUAUUUCUAAUGAUUUCAUAAACCUAAUUAUGUGGAAUUGAGGCAUGAUGUAUAUGAAUAAUAGAAAACCAUUAAAGCAUAAAAAAUUAAUCAUUUGCAUAAAAUAGAAAGUCUAAUUUUAUCAUACUUAAAAGGUAUUAAAAAAUAUGUAUGUUGGGCCAAAUAGGUCAAAAUAGCUUAAACAUGCAACUUUGACACUUGGAACGACGAAAAUGUGCAAGUGUACACAAUCGCCAAGUAAUAAAGUGACAAGUAAAUGUCGAGUUAUCGUACCCACAGGGACUGUAAAAGAAUUAUUUAUGAAAGUAAGUUUAAACACUUUGGUGAAAGAAAAUUAUUUGGAUCUGGGAAAUGAUUAAAACUAAAAAACAAAGUAAAAUAAAAUAAAGUAAAGUUCUAAUGCACGAUUUCAAAAGCUGAUUUUAAUCAAGAUGAUAUAAUCGUGUUGGAUUAAUUACAUUUCCUUACCUUAGAAUCAUUAAACUUAUGCUUAUACUUAUUUACUAAUAAAUCACGGCAACUCAGUAAUUUAUUAACUUAUGAACAUAUUUAGAAAUAAAAAAUCCAUUCAUCUUUUGUACACAUUCCUAUGUCAAUUCGACCGAUAAAACAGAUUUAUAAAGAUAAACAUGUUAUUGCACAUACAUACUUAUUAGAUUAAACAAUCUCUCACAUAUUCCUAUGUUGAUUCAAACGAUUAAUUCAACCUAAUAAGCAUAUAAAAGACUAUGUGAGGUAACAAAGUAUCCUUACCUUGAAACAGUUUAAUCACAAUAAUCUUGCAAGUUAUGUAAGGCAUAUGUAUCGCCAAAUACAAUGCUAAUCUAAUCUUCAGCUACCUUAGAAGAAUUAAACAUGCACUGAUUAAGUAUUAUGUUUAUUAAUUACAAUUUCAAUGUGUUUAAAUAAUUAAUUCUUUAGUUAUAUUACAAUUGUAAUGCGAGAAUAACUUAAUCAUGGUUUUACUUAAUCAAACAUUUUACCGAGGCCUAUAACAACAUAAACAUAAAUUUAACAAAUCAAGAGGAGGAAUGCAAUCAACCCAACACGAAUUAAAUUCAAGCUAAGCUGAUUAAAUUAACCAUUCCAAUAGCAUAAAUAUUCACAGAUAUGUUCAUCAUAAAAACAACAAAAAUAAAAGAGAUAAGGAACAAGAAUCAAUUCUGGUGGUUUUCCGUGGCUUGACUAGGUUGCUCCAUUCUUCCUUCUUUGUUGUCCUUGCCGGUCAAGGCUGCUAUGAACACUCAAUUGCUGCUCCAAAAUGGCUGAAGAACACCCCUUUCCCAAGAUGAGAAAUCAGCACAAGAGCAAGGAACUUUGACUGGGAAAAUGAGAGAAAAAAGUGAGAGAGGAGAGAAGAGUUGUGAGGGAAGAGAUGUGAACGAGGGAUGAGUUUUUUUUUUGCAAGGUUGAAAGUUCUUCAAGGGCUUCUUUGCAAGCUUAUUUAGUCAGCUAAAAUUCUGAUUUGGGUCAGCAUAUGGACGGUUCUGGGCAGCCCAAUUGGUGGCUGGUUCGGUUCACUAGAUUCGGUUCAACCAAUGCGGUUCAACUGGACCCUUUUUUUUCAUAAUUAAUUAAUAAUAAUUUAUUUAGCCCAAAUUAAAUUGGGAAUAAAUUAAAAUUAAUUAUAUUAUGAAUUAACACACAUUUUUUGACCAUCUUAGGCUGGAAAUAAAUUUUCCUUGAUGCUUCAAAUUGCUUCUCGGUUUUAUUCUUCGAGCAUUGUCUACCGAGUUAAUUUUCGUCCUUUGUACGAAUUUGUCGAAAAUAGUCAAAAUUAAUCAAAAUUAACUAUAAAAUUAAUUAAAAUUCAUCAUGUUCAUAUUUUAAACAUAAUUUAAUUAUUUUAUAAUAUUUAAUCAUUUUUCGACAAGAAUUUAACCGAAAUAGCAUGAUUUUAAGUUAAAAAGGGCAUGUAAAAACACAUAAAUUUUCGUGUUUCCACACCCCCAAACUUAAUUCAUUGCUCGUCCCGAGUAAUGCACAAAUUUGAAAAGAAUUUUCUUGGAAACACUUUUUGAAAAACUCCUUUAGAACAACAUUCUUCCCAAAAUCAUGAAAUCAAUAUACUUAUGCUUAAAAAUAAGAAAUUUGAUAAUUAUGCUACUCAAGUAUAUAUAUCGUUCAAAUUAAUCUCAACAAUUACUACAAUAGCAAAAUUAGACUAAAUGUUUCUUAAUAAAGACAUGUUAAUCCCUACCAAUUUGAUUUUAAUCCCUUAUUCAAAAUUAAACUGCAAUCAUUAAGCUUAACUAAUGUCUUCAUAUGUUGAACAGAACAGUUUCUCUCCACUAAUGUAGGUAACAUUGGAACUUUGAAUCAAUAGGUCUUUAACAAGGUUGUAACGUGGUUGGGCUUAGGGGUAGGUAAAAGAUAGAUAAUUUUAGGUUUAAAAAAAAACCCUAGACUCAGCUUGUAUCGGACCUUUCGAAAUAAAUACCUUCAAUACAUCAACUUUUCUUUCCUUUUCACAUGCUCUUUAGUGAAAUUCACUUCAAGUACAUAUGCUUUUUUUCGAGUAUUUUACUGCAUGUACUACAAUUUUUAAAGCAUUUCAUACUUCUUUGUAACUCCCCCAAACUUAUUUUCAAAGAAUACUCUGAAUAGUACUGAGCCUAGUGUUUGAGACAUUUUUAAGAUAAUUAAGAAAAGUGAUGGCUAACUUUGUAAGGGUUCAAAUAAAAUUAGGCCAUAAAGUCUCAAAGUUGGGUUUCAAAGGAUAAAAAUUUCAUCAUGGUUGGCUUGAAAGGCUCAAACAGUCCAAACAAUAGUUGCCUAAAUCAUUUUCAACGUUCCAUGCUUCCUAGGAUUUCACCUCAAGAAACUACUAAGUCAAUUCUAAAGACUUAAACUUUCAUGCAUGCCUAACUUUCCUAAAGAACUAAAAUUUUAUGGUAUGAUUUGCAUGCUUUAUUUGAAAUACAUUUCAUGUCAUUAUUAAGCUAACAUAACAAUUUAUUGAAAUAAUCAAACUUUAUUCAUACUUAAAUUUAGCAUACUUAACAAAAUUCAAAUUUAUUGAACAAAAAAUAUCAUAUUCAUAAUUAAAAGAAAAAAUUAUAUUCUGAGUGGAAAUAAUUUCAAUUUUCAGUCCCCUCAACUUAAAAUGAACAAUGUCCUCAUUGUUUAAAGUGAAUAGAUACUAUACACCAGGUAGGAUUCCAGAAAAGAGGAGGUGAGUCAAUUUGACUGCUUAAGUACCAAGCUCUUCCUAGAUCCAAUCCUAAACAUGUAUAUACCUAUUGCCACACUUUAGACUUUACUACUUGUCCAUAUUUACUUUUGAUUCCCAUCUCUUAUUUUAUUGUGCAAAAAUAAAAAAAUCCUAAUUAAUCCUAAUUCUAAGCUAAGUUGAUAAAAAUUAAUAUAUAAAUUAUAAAUAAUAUAAUUAUAUAUUAAAGUUUAUCAAAUUAUUAAUAAUAUUAAAGAUAUUUAUUCUAGAUACUUUUUGAAAAUAUUCACAAAGAAAGGCACCUAGUUUUUUAUUAUUUACGAAAAGAGUGACUAAAUUUUAAAAAUAAUUCAAUUAAGUCCCUAGACUUAAUGAAAAUUUAAAAUUGAGUUGCAAAUUAAAACUUGGAUCAAAAUUGACCCUUUUUAUUUGAAACUAAAAAUUUGUUUUUCCAUUUAAGGGAUAAUUUCUUGGAAAAUUAUGUCAAAAUAAAUUCCUAGGAAAGAUUGGAGGGGUCACAAACGGUCCCGCUUAAGUUCCAAUCUCCUAGAUAGAAUUUAUUUAAACAUACUUGACCCAAAAAUAUACCCUAAAUCAUUUAUUCAAAAAGAAAAACGAAAAAUUAAGUAUCCGAUAAAAUGAACUAGAUUUUAUCCCGUUCAAUUUUAUCUCCCCAAUAAUGUUUUAGGCACUGAGCAUUAACUUGGAAAUUACCUCCCUUACCUUAGAGUUCAUCAACUCCGAAUGGAUAGACUUGGUGAAUCGUAAAUGACCGGACCAACGUGAUUUUAGCGUACCUAGAAAGAAUUUCAAUCUGGAAUUGAACAAUAAGACUUGCUGACCUGCUUCAAAUUCUCGAACUCGAAUGUGGUUGUCAUGCCAUUUCUUGAGUCUUUCUUUAAGUAAUUUGGCAUUUUCAUAUGAGAACCUUCGAAACUCUUCUAAGUCAUUGAGUUGGAACAUCCGUUUCUCUUUCGCGAGCUUAGGAUCCAAAUUAAGCUGUUGAAGAGCCGAAUAAGAUUUGUGCUCUAACACCAAUGGUAGAUGACAAGCUUUUCCAAAGACCAACCUAUAGGGUGACAUCCCUAACGGUGUCUUGUAUGUUGUUCUGUGAUCCCAUAAAGCAUCAUCUAAUCUUAUGGACCAAUCUCGUCUAUUCCGGCAGACUACCUUCUCAAGUAUACCUUUGAUCUCAUUAUUUGCCAGUUCAGCUUGCCCAUUUGUCUGCGGAUGGUAAGCUGUUGCAACCUUGUGUUUCACUCCGUGCUUGUCUAAUAACCAUUUUAACCACUUGUUCACAAAGUGGGAUCCUUCAUCACUAAUUAUAGCUCUUGGGGUUCCAAACCUUGUGAACACAUGCUUCUGUAGAAACUUCAUCACAACCUUAGCAUCGUUUGUCGGAUAUGCCUCAGCCUUGACCCACUUAGACACAUAGUCUACUGCUACUAGUAUGUACUUGUGACUACAAGACGGAGGAAAAGGACCAAGAAAGUCAAUACCCCAUACAUCGAACAAAUCUACCCUAGUGAUGUUUGUUCGAGGCAUCUCAUUUCUUUUGGUGACAUUUCCAACCCUUUGACAUCGAUCACAACUCUUCACGUAAGCAUAUGCAUCCUUGAAUAGUGUUGGCCAAAAGAAUCUGGCUUGCAAUACUGUGGCCUCUGUACGUGUACCUCCGAAGUGUUCCCCACUUGGAGCUGAGUGACAGUGGUAUAAAAUCUUCGAUAUUUCAUCUUCUGCCACGCAUCUCUUGAUCAUCUAAUCUGCACACUUUUUAAACACAUAUGACUCUUUCUAGAAAUAGUACUUCACAUCGUAAAGAAACUUUUUCCUUUGUUGAUACAUCUUAUCAAUUGGCAUAAAACCACAAGCUAAAUAGUUAGCAAUAUUAGCAAACCAAGGGGUAUUAUGGACAUGAUUUACCUUCAGGAUAUGUUCGUUUGGAAAUGUCUCCUGAAUUGGUAUAAAAGGAGAACUCCCUUCUUGUGGCUCCAAUCUGAGCAAGUGAUCUGCUACUUGAUUUUUGACCCCCGUUCAAUCUUGAAUUUCUAGAUAGAACUCUUGAAGUAGAAGUACCCAUCGGAUCAACCUCGGCUUCACACCUUUCUUCGCAGGUAAAUACUUAAUUGCCGAGUGGUCCGUAUAGACAGCCACUUUAGUACCUACCAGAUAAGAUGGAAACUUGUUGAAAGCAAACACAAUAGCAAGUAACUGUUUUCCUGUUACCGUAUAAUUCAGUUGAGCUCCUGUUAGGGUUCAACUUGCGUAGUAGAUAGGAUGAAAAACUUUGUUCCUUCGCUGGCCCAAGACAACUCCAAUUGCGAAGUCACUUGCGUCACACAUCAAUUCGAACGGCAAAUCCCAGUCUGGUGUGACAAUUAUGGGUGCCGUGACUAAUCAAAUUUUCAAAUCGUUGAAGGCUUUUAAGCAUUCCUCAUCAAACUUGAAUAUAGAGUCCUUCUCCAAUAAUUUGCAUAAGGGUUUAGCAACUUUGGAGAAGUCCUUGAUAAAUCUUCAAUAAAAACCGGUGUGGCCCAAAAAGCUCUUAACACCCUUUAUAGAUGUUGGAGGUGGGAGUUUCUCAAUAACAUCUACCUUUGCUUUGUCUACCUCGAUCCCAUGUCUCGUUAUCCGAUGCCCUAGAACAACUCCUUCUUGUACCAUAAAAUGACACUUUUCCCAGUUGAGUACGAGAUUCGUUUCUUCGCAUCGCCUUACUACUUUAGUUAGAUUGGCUAAGAAAUCAUUGUAAGUAUCUUCGAAUACUGAAAAAUCAUCCAUAAAAACUUCCAAAUAUUUCUCAACCAUGUCAGUAAAAAUAGACAUUCUACAUCUUUGAAAUGUAGCAGGUGCAUUACAUAAACCAAAUGGCAUGCGUCUAAAUGCAAACGUACCGUACGGACAGGUGAAUGUCACUUUGUGUUGACCUUCCGGUGCUACUGUAAUCUAAUUAUACCCUGAGUAUCCAUCGAGAAAGUAGUAGUAAUCUCGUCCUGCAAGUUUAUCCAACAUCUGGUCCAAGAACGGCAAAGGAAAGUGAUCUUUCCUAGUCACCUUGUUCAGCAAUCGAUGUAGAUUCUCCAUCCCGUAAUCGUUCUAGUCGGUAUCAACUCGUUGUUCUCGUUCUCUAUGACCGUGAUACCUACUUUUUUGGCACGCACUGGACCGGGCUUACCCAUGAACUGUCUGAGAUGGGUUAUAUGAUACCUGCAUUUAACCACUUGAUGAUCUCUUUCUUUACUACGUCCUUCAUGAUGGGGUUCAGUCUCCGUUGUCCAUCGAUCGUCCCUUUUUUGCCAUCUUCCAGGAUAAUCUUGUGCAUGUAUACAGAUGGACUAAUGCCACGAAAAUCGGCUAUGGUCCAUCCGAUGGCCUUCUUGAAUUAUUUCAAGACUAAGAUAAGUUUAUCUUAUUGCUUAGUGGUCAAUUCUGCUGAAACAAUCACAGGCAGAGUAGAAGCGUUACCUAAAUAAACAUAUUUUAAAUGAGAAGGUAAUACCUUGAGUUCUAAUUUAUGUGGCUCAUCGAUCAACACUUUUGGUUGAUAAUAGUCCCUCUUUUCUAACUCCAAAUAUUCAAAACGGGAUUGUGGAUUAAAUCCUCUUUGGUUAGCUUCUAGCAAAGCUAAGUAUUCAUCCUCCUCUUCAUCAUUUGGAGGAUUCGAUGUCAAAAUUCUUUCUAGUGGGUCCUCAACACAGUUGAGUUUCUUCUCCAUUAUUAAAUCCUCUAAAUCGGACACUGCAAAGCAAUCAUCCAUUGUGUCAGGAAAUCGCAUAGACUUAAAGACGUUAAAUGUUACCUAAUCAUUCUGAACAUGCAUAGUGAGCUCGCCCUUCUACAUAUCAAUAAGGGUCCUUCCAGUUGCUAGGAACAGCCGUCCUAGGAUGAUUGGUACAACUACCAGUGAAAAUAUAUUCCGCUUUGGUGGUGGACAAUACAACACUAUUUUGUUUCUUUGAAAACCAUGAUAUGAGCAUAUUGCCUAGGAAUUGAUAAGUAUUGGAUUUGCUUUUCCUAAUCUAAUUUGCAAACUCUAAUAUCUACGUCCAAGAAGGCAUGCAAGCUAAAGGAUGGGUUUUUAGGAUACCAAAGGCUUAAGUUAGGAGUGUCUCUAAGGUAUUUAAAGAUUUUCUUAAUGGCUUGUAAAUGUGAUUUCUUAGGACAAGAUUGAUAUUUAGCACACAAGAAAACAUUAAAUUGUUGGAAGACACAACAAAAAAUAAAUUUAGAAAAAACAAGAGUUUAAUUUUUUUUUCCAAAACAAGAACUUGUUUUUGAUAUUUAAAGUAAUAAACAUUUAAUCAAAAUUGCACCUUUUUGAUUCGUCUAAGAUGAAUGCUUCGACAAGUAGUCUUCUUCGCUACCCUUAAGCUCACGUCUACUAAGUGUGGGCUCACUUCAAAUAAAAAAAUUCACUAAAAUUACCAGUGGGGUAAUUUCGUAAUUUUUCUAAAAUUUUAGGCUAAAUUGUAAAUAAGAAAUAUAUCUCUAGAAAUCUUCUAAAAUAAUUUCUUCAGAUAAUUUUCUCUCUAUAACUUUCUCUUAAAUUCAAGUGUGUGAAAAAUAUAGGGAGAGUUUAGAGAGUUCAACUAUAAUUAAACUUAAUUACUUUAAUAUUAAAUUUAAUCUAAUAUUUAUCAAGAUAAGAUAAAUAUUAGAUUAAAUUUAAUAUUAAAUCUUAUUAAAUUAAUAAAAUAUUUUUCUACAAGAUAAACAUUAAAUUAAAUUUAAUAUUAAGAUAAUCAGUUGAAUAUUAAAUUAAUAAAAUACUAUUAAGAUAAGUAUUAAAUUAAAUUUAAUGUUAAAUAUAUUAAAAUAAUAUUAUUUUUGGAAUAGUUAAUCUAAAAUCAAAUUCUCUGGUAAAGUCCUAGUAGGAGUGUAAUUCUUCCACUGCUCAACCACCGAAGAACCACCGCCACUGACCGUUUUCCGGCCACCGAAAUGCCAUCGUUGUAGCUGUCGGCACCCCGAGUUGGUUCAAUUUUUGUUGAUUCAGUCCAGGCCAGUGGCGGCCCGACCGGUCCAACCAUUGGUUAGAUCGCCGGUCCGAUUUCACAUACUAGGCCCAGUUCGACUAGUUUUUGGUCUUGGUCUCGGUUUUGGGCUCCCAGGCCCAAUUUACAAUCUCAGGUCCAAUUUUCAAGUUCAAUUACACAUUGGGCCAAUUGUCUGACUUGAAAAUUAAUUUUCAAAAACAUCAUAUUAAUUUUAAUUAAUUUGAUUAAUUUAAAUUUACUUGAUUAAAAUUAAUUUUCCAAAAAAUCACUUAGAUUUUUCAAAGUAAUUUUUCAAGAAAUUUCUUUACUCAAAUUCUCUAGUUGAACAAUUCUUACGACUGCCCAAUUUAAUUCCACACCAAAUAAAUUGACUCAAUUAAAUUAUUUCCAAAGUCGUAGAAAUUUCUUCUAAUUCAAAUACAAUCCGAUUGAGCUUUUAUUAAGCUAGCAGAGAGACCAAUUAGACAUAUACAAUUAGGCUCUAAUAAUUACAAUUAUGUCCAGAAUUAUCAUUCCAAUAAUUCGUAAUUACUUAAUCAUGGAGUCAGUCCACAAGAAGUACUGUAACACCCCUAUUCCCAACGCAACUACUAGAUCAAGUAUAAAAAUGCUACAUUGAUUGUCAGAAACUCUAAUAGUAAUUUCUAAAUAAAAAUAACAUUAUAAUUUGUACAUAUUAGUUUCGUUAUUUCAGUAGAUUAAUUAUUAGUAUUCGAGAUAAGCUAGAAUAAAUUUUUUCAACCAUUCUUGCAUUUAGAAUAGUAUACUAAAGUGAAAUAAGGGCUAUUGUGAAAAACAAGGGACAUGGCCAUGUGGAUCAGCAGUAUGGAUUUUGGGAACCAUGUUUGAGUUUGAAAUUCAAGGGAUAAUUUGCCAAAUUAAUUCCUAAAGUUUUUCCAGUUUAACCCUUGUUCAAAUCUCAAAUUUUAAGCCAAUUUAAUUUAAAUAUAAAUCGUAAUUAAGCAUUUUAAAACCCAAUUUUCUUAUAUCACUUAAUUAACAUUUAAAUAAUUUCAUAUAAAUUAAGCAAACAUUGAGUUUUCACAUUUAAGUCCCUUCACAUUCAACCUUAAUACACACACCUAGGUACAUGCCAUUUACUGAAACGACAUAAAUUAAUACUUUACCAUUUUCUCAAAUCCACAGAUGUGAUGAGAUGAGAUGCCUUCAAUCCUCAAAGAUCUUUUUCUUCUACUCUUAACCUACUCGUAUAAAGCACACGUUAAGCUAUUGCUAGCUUACUAAGUACAACUAGUAUUUAGGCCAUAACCUAUUAUAUAAAUUAUAACUUAUUUAUUAUUACUACACAUAAUCAUUUAAAUGACUUGUUUGUAUUCAUCAUACAUAAUUUACCAAUCAAUUAACUUAUCCUUACAAUUAGCUCCACUUUUAUUAUUAUUUGCUCAUUAUACACAAAUUAAACAUAUUGAUUUGAUUAUCAUCUAUAUAAUACUAGAAUCACGUAAUUUAUUUUAAAUUUAUCAUUUCAUUAGCUAAAAUUUUAGAUAAUUUACUUUUCUUAUUUCAACCAUAUAUUUUCUUAUGUUUUCCAAUUUCAUAACUUUUCAACACAUAUAAUCUAUAUAAUUCAACAGUCAUUAAAAUAGUUAUGUACCUUUUUGAAAGGCCCAGUAGACUUAACAGAACAUACAAGAUAUACGGAACAUAACAGAACACCAUCGAAGCAGAUAAAAAAAUACCAUUGAAGCGAAUAAACUGAGAGCACAAAUGUGCUAAUCAGAGAGCACUAACGUGCUAAUAGUCAGAGAGCACUAAUGUGCUAAUAAUCAGAGCGCGCGCUAAGGUUUCUUAAUGGCAUGCCACUAAUAUCCCAAUAGUUCUUAUCUCGUCUAUUUGGGCAAGUCAUAACAUACACACGUCACUUUUACACUUUUUACCAUUCAAUCCUUAUAACAAUACUUCGUAUAAUUAUAUCUUCCUAUUUCAUUACCACAUGUAACUUGUCUCAAUAUUUAAUAAUCUUCCAUAAAUUUAAUAAUAAUUCUUAUUAUACAUUUCACAUAUCACUUUUACUUACUUUACAAUUUAAAACUCAUAAUGACAUUUCAUUUAACAAUGUUUUUCACUUUCAAUAACAUAUAUAACAUAUUUCAUUUCUUGGUUUAAUUUUAGUAAUCUACCACGAAUUCUUAUUAUCAUAUUUGUAAUACCCAAUUUACGCCCAACCCAUAUACAUCACAAAAAAUAAAUAUACAUAUAUAAAAACUAAAUAAAAAAAUUAUAAUAAAAGUCCAAUACAGUCCAAAAGUAAAAAAUAAUAUAGAAACAUUUACCCAAAUUUGCCUGGGCCCGCAUACAAAAACCAAAUACAAACCAAAUAAAAAGACUAUUAUCUAAGGUUAUUUACAUGACCCAAUAACAAUAAACCCAAUAGUACAUUAAGCCCAAUCCUAAAACUAAUACCCUACCCAGUUUACAUGGCCCAAUUCAAAUUGAAACCUAGCCAAAACUGGAGAAAUACACCAGAAGCCUCUAGGGAUUUCGAGAAUUGCCAGCGCCGCAUUAAUUGGAUCUAGGCCUCGCGCGUGCAUCGCCACCGUGUGCAUGCGGCUCCUCCACGCGUGUGCUCCAGAUGGUUGGGUACCUGCAACAGAAACAACAAACAAGCGGGUGAAACAAAAACAUGGAAAAAAUGCAAAUAACAGAAGGAAUAGAGGGGAUUUGAUUUAUUUUUUAUGUUCAUUUUUGUGGCUAUAAAAGGCCAAUUGUAACACUGAAAUGGGAUCUUUUUUCCAGGCAUAUUUAAAUACAAAUAAAAAAUCAAUCAAAAAGGAAAAGAAAUCAGAUUUGAAAACGUGAUUCACCAUUUUUUUUCUCUGCAUUUCUUUACUGUUUUCUUUUAUUUUUUUAUACGAAGAAGAGAAAAGUAAAGGAAAAAGAAGAGGGAGAGAAGAGCGAACUUACCUGGUGGCUGAUCUUCCUUCACUACGUCGCAAUCAGAGUCGGAUGGAGGAUAGAGGCACGAAACGACGCACAGAGGAAAAGCAUUUAGGGUUUGUAGAUUUGUUAAAUGGCUUAAUGCCUAGGUUUUUAGGUUUUAUGCGUGCAAGGAAACGACACCGUUUGAAGCCCGUUCUAAUAGCUCCCAAAACGGUGCCGUAUUGAGCUUACCCGAUUAUAUUGACCCGAUUCAAUCUCAGAUCCGCGCCUUUUGGUUCAAAGGUCUAUUUGCGCAACAAGUCCCCCUUUGUUUUGUAUUGUUUCAAUGCGAUUUCUUUAAAUUUUUAUUUAUUUAUUUAUACCAUAUCUUUUAUUCUGAUUUUAUUUUAGUCCAAAAUCAAACGGUGACGUUUUUGUUAUCUGAAUUUGAAUUCUGGAACUUAUGCGUUUAAUUGUGGUAUUAGUCCUCAUGCUUUCGAUUGAUUGUAAAUUUAGUCUUCUAAGUGCUGUAUUUUCGAUUUAAUUAUUGUUUUUUUUAAAUUUAUUUUUUAUCUCUUAUCAAUCAUAAUGUUUUGUUUAAUUUUAUAAAUAUUAAUGUUUUGUUUAUUUAUAAUAAAUUUUAAAUGUUAGGAUUAACAUUGUUUUCAAACAUUUUUUAUUAUAAUUUUAAGGUACAACAUAUUCUUAUUUAAAAUUAUUAUUAACAUAUUUUGAGUUUAUCAACAUUGUUUUAAAAUUUAUCCUUUUUAUUUUCAAACUCCAUAUCUUUAUAUGUUUCAUCAUCUAUAUAUGUAAAAAUGUUUUUCAUAAUAAUUUGACAUACUUUAUACAUAUUUUAAUAAUUCAUUUUAUGUUAUAACUUAGUUUUCUUUUGAUAUAAUGUUUUAAAUGCUACUAUAUGUGUUAUUAAAUUAUUUCAAAAAAAUUAUAUAUAUUAUUGUUUUGAUGUUUAAUAUUAUCAUGAUUAUAAAUUUCAAAGUAUUUUUAUAUGUAUAUAUGUAUUUUAAGUCGAUUUUAUUUAUAUAAUUUACUUCUUUCAAAACCUAUUUAGGUGAUUACUUUUUUUAAAAUCAUAUACGUAUUGGAACUCUUACAUAGUUAUUUUAUAUGUAUUAUUUAGGGUAAAUUAAUAAAUAUAUUAUUUGUUUCAAAUUUAUUUUAAAUACCAUUAUCCAAUGUUGUAUUAUACUGUUUCACGUCCAUUUUGAGUCUAUGUGUAAAUAUUUUAGCUUAUAAAUGUUAUUAUUAAUAAAUAUUGUGGUAUUUAAUUCAUUUGAUAGUUGGCAAUUAGGAUUGAUAUUUGCAUGAUGUGAUGAAAAUUGUUGUAACCACUUUUGUUCGAAUUCCUCCAUUGUUUAUCAUCCCUCAGUUUGUAUUUAGAUUGUGAAUUGUAUCUUUUUACAUUACGUAUCGCUAUUCAAUCAUGUGCCAUUUGUAAAAGUUUCAUUUUAAAGCACAACAAUCAUUUUAUUUCAUAAUUUUCAAAAUACCCGGUAUUUAAGACUCUCGAGAGAAUUGUACCAUAACUUAUUGGGCUUCAAUUCUUCCGAUGAAUUUAAAUAGCCGAGUAUCUCUUUUGUAAUAAAACCACGUGAUUUUUAAAUAAAUCUUGUCGGGAAUUCAAAAUGUUGAAUCCUAACUUACUGGAUAUGACAUUUUGUUAUCUCGAAUUAAGGAUUUUAAAAUAAAGGCAAUAUUUGGUGUUUAGGAAUGUCGAGAAAUUGAACCCUAGCUUACUGGAUUCUGAUUUCUUGAUUGACCCAAAUAACUAAAUAUCCUUUUCAAAAUGUAUGAUUUUUUAAAAUUUAAAAAGACAAACCUAAUUUCGAAGAUUGAACCGUUGCACCCUAACUCACUGAGUGUGACAAUUUAUGGGUAUGUCUUAUCAUCCAUUUCGAUUAUUCAGGCUUUCUUUUCAAGGGAUCGUAUUUUAAAAUCUUUUCAAGUUUUCAGCAUUAAGACAUUAAACGAUCAAUUCGGUACCAAUUUUUGGGCGUUGCGGGGUGCUAACCCUUCCUCGUGCGUAACUAACUCCCGAACCUAUUUUCUCAAAAAUUGUAGACCAAAAAUCGUUUUCAAGGUGAUCCGAUCACACCUCAAAUAAAGGUCGGUGGCAACUCCAUUUUCAUUUUCAAGGUCGAUUUCUAUUUUUUUUAAAAAAAUAGUUUCGACAGCUUGGCGACUUCACUGGGGACAUUUAGAGAGUCAAGCCGCAAAAUUGAUUGUUUUUUGUCUUAUUGUCAAAAAUUGAAAAUUUGAUUUGAAAAAUUAGGAUCCUCUCUUUGUAUUUGUUUGUCUGAUUACUAUAAAUUGAGUUGUAUAUUUUGGCAUCAUAUUGCUUAAAAGACUGUUUAGUCUUACCCUUGUAAGUGGGAGUGAGAAGCUAUUCCUUCGUGAGGUUUUCACUUCCGUGCAGGAUUGUGGAUCACUUUCGGGAUACAUCCGUACCUAUGUCUUCGUGAGAUUUUCAUCUCCGUGUAGCCAUAGGGAAAUGUAUUCCCCUGAACUGAACUCGUUUUGUAUGAGCCUAUAAUGGGCGAAGAUCGAGGAAUCUGCUGGUUCGGGUACCUUGACUUUAGAGCCAAACCGCAUGUAGAAGACCUUAGGAACCUAUCCUAGGUAGAGCCACUCCAAACCUCUAGUGGUUACCUAACUAGGUAUUCUUUUUGUUUGCUUUUGUUUUGUACUAACCCAUUUUGUUUUGUUUCGAUUAUGAUUGCAUUGCAUUUGCAUCUUAGAAAAGAGAUGUUGAUUAAAAAUCGAUUACUAAAUUAGAAAGCUUGUCAUGGAAUACAGACUUCUUGAUAAAGUAGAAGAUAAUACGGUUGCCCGACUAUAUUCCAAGAAACACAAGAAGGGCGAUGAAAGAGUUCGUGACUUUACUUCGUGGCCCGAGGAUUCAAGAUGAUUGUCUAAAAGCCUUCGACGUUCCAACUCCCUUAAAGAAGCUGACGAGCCUUAUAAAGAUGGGCAGAUGAUGGAUCGCGACCAGGAUCAAGAAAAGGAGCUAGCAGUGGCAUCCAUUGGAAAUUUGUGAGAUUUAUUUUAAACAUUCGGAUGAGGAAAUUAUUGAGGUUGUUUCUGGGAAUAUGAAGGCGAGGACGUACAUGCAUCCGUUUUAUGUAAAGAAGUUUGUCUUCUAGUAAAAUUUUCUAAAUGUAAUUGAAUCAGAAUUAACAUCUCUUCAGGCAUUCAUUUCAUGCAUCUGCAUUACAUAACAUCAUAUGCAUUAAAAUCCAUUGAAAGAGUCUAAUUGAGUAAAUUUAUUUCAGUUAAUUUGGAAAACCAACACCCUUACAAUAUCCAAGCAAAGGUUAGAGAAAUGGAAGAAAGGUUGGAGAAAUUAGAGCGAAUGCAAAUACAAAUGCAAGAGCAACUGACUAAAUUUCAACAGGAGAUGAGAGAUCAGAUGCUAGAAUUACAGAGAACUUUGAUGAACCAAUUCAACCGAUUGCUAGCUGGAGAGUUAGAAGAAGUGAAAGACUCAGUGAUCCACUUUGGGGUUAAUACUGAGGAUCUUGCCUAUUCCCUAGAUUGUACUCUGAUAAGUGUACAGAUCCUGCCAGAUGGGCGUUCAUAAGGGGCACUCUUUGCUAUUAGAUCCCAACAUUAUCAGACUAGUACAUCGACACUAGUGAAUUGCUUGGCAGGCCUAGGAUCAAAUUUGAGGAACAAUUUUCCUGUUGCUCUUGAUAACCUAGCAGAAAUAAAAUAGUCGAGGGUGGAGUACCUAUAUACUACAAAGGCCCUAAGGAAGAAGGGAAAUAAAUGGGAUAAUGCAGGCAGGUAUAACAAGGGCCACUCAAUGCCAAUCACUGCGGGUAGGCCAAAGUCAGAAAUCAUUAGCCAUCAGAGCCCUUUAAAGCGAGAAUUUUACACGAAGACAAGUAUAGAAAGACCUCAAUUUACAUCUAUACCGAUGUUAUAUAGUGAGCUAUAUCAAAGCCUAUUUAAUGCACAUGUGGUGUCCCCCUUCUACUUGAAACCCAUGCAGCCCCUAUUUCCUAAAGGAUACGAUGCAAACGCCCAGUGCGAAUAUCAUGCAGGAAUCACGGGGCAUUCAAUAGAAAACUUCUCUGCUUUCAAAAAACUAAUUGAAAGACUCAUUAAUAGGGGUAUCGUCAAGUUUGGUGACUUAUCAAAUCUGCUACCCAAUUAUAUUGAUAAUGGGGUAGACAUGAGGGCAAGAAGAGGAUUAGUUAUUUCUGAUUCAAAAGGAAACCAUGGAAAGAUAGGCAACUAUUGUGAGUUCCAUCACAAGAAGGGGUACGAGACCGAAGAGAGUAUGGAACUCAAGGCCUUGGUUCAGGGCAUGAUGGACGACAAAAAGAUGAAGCUCUUUGAGGAAAUUAAAGAAGAGAAAAACAUACACACAAGGUUGGGAAGUGUUCACUUCAAUGACAUAUAGACGCAAUUGAAAAGAGACCUUGUCAGAUGUCCGCCCUUAUAAAUUUGGGAGUGUUCUAAGUAAUUGGACUGCAGAAGAAAUCCCUGUAGUUUUUAGAGCUUAUUUAGAGUAAUGUUCAGAAUAUUUUUGUUGUUUUUAGCCUAAAAAUGAUAGAAUUCCUUUGUGCAAUAAGCUCAUGUCUGAACGUCAUUAUUCUAAUAAAAUACAUCUUUGUAUUCAUUUUUAAGCUAAUAUUCUUUCAUUCUUUUUGAACAAUUAUUCUUUCAUUCUUUUGGGUUUUCUUCUACAUCAUUUUUAUUCAUAAUUAUAAUGUACAAAUAAUUAUUCAUAAAGUUACAUAUUCUUUUUUAUAUUCUUUGGUAUUUACUAUGGGUCCUCAGAUAUCAAUGACGUGAGUGACAUUGUUACAGACUUAGAAUCUCCUUUUGAGCGAGAUAUGUUUUUAGAGGGAUCUCAUGACUUUGAAAAUUACAUGGAUUGUAGCCUAUCUCUGGACUUGUUGAGGGUGGUAGAACAAGAGGACCAACAGAUCCUACCUUACAAGGAAUCAUUAGAAAUUGUGAGUUGGGUGAAUAUUUGAAUUGACAUGACCACAAAGAUAAAGUGGAACCUUAUUGAGUUGCUUCGAGAAUUCAAAGAUGUCUUCACAUGGUUAUACCAGAAUAUGCUUGGGUUAAACACUGACAUUGAAGAUUGUAAGCCAGCUCAGCAGAAGCUCAGGAGAAUGAGGCCCGAUAUCGUGCUACAAGAAAAAGUCAAAAAGUAAUUUGAUACUGGGUUUUUACAAGCGAUCAAAUAUUCAGGAUGGAUAGCCAACAUCGUACUAGUCUUUAAAAAAUGGGAAAGUACGAAUGUAUGAGGAUUAUAGGGAUUUGAACAAAGCCAGUCCCAAAACUCAUUGUUUUUCACACUUUAAUGGAUAAUAUGGCAGGCUACUUAUUGUUUUCGUUCAUGGACAGCUUCUCUGGAUACAAUUAAAUAAAGAGACAUCCCAAAGAUAUAGGAAUGACCACAUCCAUCACCUUAUGGGAAAUUUUUGCUAUAAAGUGAGGUCUUUCGGGUUAAAGAAGGUUUGGAAGGCCUUUCUCUUUGACUUAUCAUAACUUUGCCCAUUGAAGCUGAUUGCUCUCCACUUUUAUUGGGUUUUAUCCUAAUUAAAGAGGACGAUCCAAAGUUUUGUCAUCAUAGUUAAAUUUCGCACCAAAAGGCUCUAUGAAAGAAAUUUGGUACCAAAGAAGAUUUUUCGCAUAUAAUAUGAAAGUGGAAGAUCUUAUGUGGGAGACUUUAUCGAAAAAAUAUUGGUUCUGAUCAAAAGGGAUAAUAAGGACUUGCCUAAUCCUAUAAGUUCAGAUUCAAUUUCAUAAAAAAAAAGAAAGAAAAGAAAAAAGAAAAAAAAACAAAAGAAAAAAGAAAACUCAAAGUCAAAAUACAAAAAAAUGAAAAUAAAAAAGAAAAAGAAAAGAAAAAGAAAAAAGAAAAAGGAGAGGCCAAGGCGAAAACCCGCAAAGGGCACUUUGUGACCAAAGGUGGAUUUGAGUUGAAAACUCGAAAAGGGCGACUCAAAUUUUGAGCGAAAUGGGGUCUGGACAUCAUCAUCAUUGAUGGCUUCUAAUGGGCAUUGCUUUAGUUUUUCGAGAUCAUUAAUUACUUUAUCAAAUGGGUAAAGGUUGCUUUAUACGUCAAUGUCAUCAUGUGCCGAUAUAGAAUUCCAAAAAAGAUGGUAUUAGAAAAUGUAUUGAACUUGAAUGAUAGCAUGAUAGUUGAGGUCUGUAAUCAAAUCAAAAUAAGACACCACAGUUCGUCACUGUAUUGACCAAAAAUGAAUUGUAAAAAAAAAAACUAAGACUUACAAUGGCUGGCAUGUGAAGUUACCAUUUGCCCUCCUGGUUUUUCGAACGUUAUCGGGACUUCGACUGGGGCAACACCGUUUCUCUUGUUUACAAGAUGGAAGUAGUUCUACCUAUCGAAGUAGAAAUCCUUUUCUAUGGGUAUUAGUUAAGCUAAGAGUUGGAUGAGGAAGAAUGAAUCCAGUAUGAUCAGGCUAAAAAGCUAUGCAGUACAGUCAAAUUAUCAAAGGCGAAUGACGCGAGCCUACAACCAAAAGGUUCACCUCAGAGAAUUCUAUAAGGGGAACCUAAUGUUGAGAAAGAUCCUUCCUACACGAAAAGAUAGAUGGUAAAAACUUGCCAAAUCCUGCAAACUCAGAUUCAGUCAAGCAUUACUUCGCCUGAAGAAGGACAAGGGAUCAAGGUGAAAACCCGCAAAGGGCGCUUUGAUUCCUAAAAAUAAUAAUAAUAAAAAAGACCAAGGUGAAAACCCACAAAGGGCGCUUUGAGUCCAAAAAAAUAAAAUAAAAUAAAUAAAAAAAUGGUGAGGCUAAGGUGAAAACCCGCAAAGGGCGCCUUGAGACCAAAGGGGAUUUUAGUUGAAAACCCGAAAAGGGCGGUUCAAAUAUUGAUCAAAUGGGGCAUGAGGUGAUCAGAGCAGUUCAAAUUUUUAUCAGAUUGGGGCAUAUGAUGAUCUUGAUAUAUUUGAAUCAACAGGAAAGGGUAGGCGACAUCUUGGGGCAUCGACAAAGCAUUGUAGAUCUCCUAAACACAUGUCAAAUUCAGAAUGGUCUUCAGAAAGUUUGUACAGAGAAGUUCAAGCUGCGAGAUCUGGGGCACCCAAUUUUUAUAUUAUUUAUAUAGAAUUUAUUGCUCUUGGAAUACUUUAUUCUUUUCCAAGAUACACAUUCCCAAUCAAUUUCUUUGUUAUCCUUUUUUACUAUUUUUGAUAAUUUAUUCCUUUCGAGCUAUGCUCAGAACCAACUUUAUUCUUAUUCAUUGUUAUGAUCUUUUUGCAGGCAUGUUGCAUUACAAUAAUGAUUAAUGGGCUAAUAAAACUUUCACAAGGGAAUUUUUGCAUAUUACUCUAGAAGUUUCUAAAUAAUACAGAAGCCUGAAACAGGACUAUUGUUUAGAACGCACCAAGUUUAAAGGUUGGAAAUCUGUAAAGGAAGAGUCUAAAUUAGGACUUUCUCUUUGGAUUUUGUUGUCUAAAACAUUGAUUGAACAAAAUGACAAGAUAUUGUGUUGAUAACAAAGCUUAAAUAAACAAGCAAGCAAUGAUCACCAGGCAAUAAGAAGAGGUUACCUCAGAGAAGAGAGCCUUCAUUUGAGCAUGAGACGGCACCCUGGGAAUGGUGUAAGGGACCAGAUAAAUUUAGAUCCUGUAUCCUUGAAUUGUGAUAGGAGAGGAUUGAGGAAAAGCCACAUAUUUCUACCCUUGGGUUAUAGUGGGAGAAUGAUGGUACAAAUUUUGUGUCCCAGUGGAUUGAACUUUGAGGUAUACAGUGGGGGCAAUCUGACUAAAUGUUUCUUCAAAAAUGCCAGCCGAGAAGGAAGGUGUUAUAGCACUUCAGUGAUAAAGCCUUAAUAAACUUUGAGCAAUGAUAACCUAAGUGAUAAAGAAGGAUCAUUCUCGAAAAAAUAUAAAAUUCUGCAUUCAUGCAAACACCAUUCACACAUGUCUAGUUAGGAGCAUUUGAUUCAUUUUGAUCAUGCCGUCCUAAUCAUUAGACAUAAUUAGGUUCAUUAUACAGGUCAUGUUCCCUAGAGAACAGAUCAGUGAAAUUAGUAGAUCUUGCCUUCCUGUAAUGACAGAGAAGCAGAUCGAAGACACCAGCCUUACCUCCCUGGGUUGUAGUGGAGCAGGUUGAAAAUAACAUAUCUUAUCUCCCUAAGCAGUAGUGGAGUAGAUCGAAGACGGUGAAUCUUAUCUUCCCCAGGAGUAGGGAAGCAGAUUUAAGCCAUUAGUCCUAUCUCCCUGGACAGCAGGGGAAUAGGUGGAAGAUUGUAAGCCUUAUCUCCCUAAGCAGUAGUGGAGCAGAUCGAAGACGACGAAUCUUAUCUUCCCAGGAGUAGGGAAGCAGAUUUAAGCCACUAGUCCUAUCUCCCUGGACAAUAGUGGAAUAGGUUGAAGGUUGUGAAUCCUAUCUCCCUGGUCAGUAGUGGAAUAGGUUGAAAAUUACAAAUCUUAUCUCCCUAAGCAGUAGUGGAGCAGAUCGAAGACGGUGAAUCUUAUCUUCUCAGGAGUAGGGAAGCAGAUUUGAACCACUAGUCCUAUCUCCCUGGACAGCAGGGGAAUAGGUGGAAGAUUGUAUGCCUUAUCUCCCUAAGCAGUAGUGGAGUAGGUUGAAAAUUACAGAUCUUAUCUCCCUAAGCAGUAGUGGAGCAGAUCGAAGACGGUGAAUCUUAUUUUCCCCAAGAGUAGGGAAGUAGAUUUAAGCCACUAGUCCUAUCUCCCUGGACAGCAGUGGAAUAUGUUGAAGGUUGUGAAUCCUAUCUCCUUGGUCAGCAGUGGAAUAGGUUGAAAAUUACAGAUCUUAUCUCCCUAAGCAAUAGUGCAGCAGAUCGAAGACGGCAAAUCUUAUCUUCCCUAGGAGUAGGGAAGCAGAUUUAAGUCACUAGUCCUAUCUCCCUGGACAACAGGGGAAUAGGUGGAAGAUUGUAAGCCUUAUCUCCCUAAGCAGUAGUGGAGUAGGUUGAAAAUUACAGAUCUUAUAUCCCUAAGUAGUAGUGGAGCAGAUUGAAGACGGUGAAUCUUAUUUUCCCCAGAAGUAGGGAAGCAGGUUUAAGCCACUAGUCCUAUCUCCCUGGGCAGCAGUGGAAUAGGUUGAAGAUUGUAAGCCUUAUCUCCCUAAGCAGUAGUGGAGUAGGUUGAAAAUUACAGAUCUUAUCUCCCUAAGCAGUAGUGGAGCAGAUAAAAAACAGUGAAUCUUGCUUCCCAGGCGGUACAGUGGAACAAAUUAAAGCCACAACGAUGAAUCUUACUUCCUCGACAUUGCAGUUAAAAAGACUGAAGCUACAAUGGCGAAUCUUACUUCCCAAAAGUGACGAGUUACAAAUCUUAUCACCCUGAUAUUGCAGUGGAGUGGAUCGAAGCACCAAUUCCUAUACCUUUGAAGGUACAAUAGGAUGGAAUGAGGCAACUCGAAGAAGAAGAGCACCAAGGCCCAACACGACCGGGCAAAAUUGGCCAUUUCUAGAGUCAUUACUCCGUUCUCGUUACACGACAAUGAGCAAAGAGGGGCAGCUGUAAUACCCAAUUUAUGCCCGGCCCGUAUACAUCACAAAAAAUAAAUAUAUAUAUAAAAGCUAAAUAAAAAAAUUAUAAUAAAAGUCCAAUGCAAUCCAAAAUUAAAAAAUAAUACAGAAACAUUUACCCAAAUUUGCUUGGGCCCGCAUACAAAAACCAAAUACAAACCAAAUAAAAAGUCUAAUAUCUAAGGUUUAUUUACAUGGCCCAAUAACAAUAAACCCAAUAGUACAUUAAGCCCAAUCCUAAAACUAAUACCCUAACCCAGUUUACAUGGCCCAAUUCAAACUGAAACCUAGCCAAAACUGGAGAAAUACACCAGAAGCCUCUAGGGAUUUCGGGAAUCGUUAGCGCUGCAGUAGUUGGAUCUAGGCCUCG
Molecule: long non-coding RNA, 33283 nt
Filed under: Gossypium barbadense (sea-island cotton)
Lineage: Eukaryota; Viridiplantae; Streptophyta; Magnoliopsida; Malvales; Malvaceae
Description: long non-coding RNA (GBAR_LNC017084)
Source: RNAcentral